RNAcentral lists this ribosomal RNA (253 nucleotides) under uncultured bacterium. Its description in RNAcentral is "partial 16S ribosomal RNA". It matches the Rfam family "Bacterial small subunit ribosomal RNA", at positions 524 to 776 of the family's 1533-position model. The record is from RNAcentral.
UACGUAGGGGGCAAGCGUUAUCCGGAUUUACUGGGUGUAAAGGGAGCGUAGGCGGCUCGAUAAGUCUGAUGUGAAAGCCCGGGGCUCAACCCCGGGACUGCAUUGGAAACUAUCGAGCUAGAGUGUGGGAGAGGUAAGUGGAAUUCCUAGUGUAGCGGUGAAAUGCGUAGAUAUUAGGAGGAACACCAGUGGCGAAGGCGGCUUACUGGACCAUAACUGACGCUGAGGCUCGAAAGCGUGGGGAGCAAACAGG